This 254-nucleotide ribosomal RNA is filed under the name uncultured bacterium. RNAcentral's name for it is "partial 16S ribosomal RNA". It matches the Rfam family "Bacterial small subunit ribosomal RNA", at positions 524 to 776 of the family's 1533-position model. The record is from RNAcentral.
CACGUAGGGGGCAAGCGUUGUCCGGAUUUAUUGGGCGUAAAGAGCUCGUAGGCGGUUCGGUAAGUCGGGUGUGAAACCUCCAGGCUCAACCUGGAGACGCCACCCGAUACUGCUGUGACUAGAGUCCGGUAGGGGAGCGUGGAAUUCCUGGUGUAGCGGUGAAAUGCGCAGAUAUCAGGAGGAACACCGGUGGCGAAGGCGGGUCUCUGGGCCGAUACUGACGCUGAGGAGCGAAAGCCAGGGGAGCGAACGGG